Molecule: long non-coding RNA, 1148 nt
Filed under: Homo sapiens (human)
Lineage: Eukaryota; Metazoa; Chordata; Mammalia; Primates; Hominidae
Description: long intergenic non-protein coding RNA 635
Source: RNAcentral
AGCAUAGCAACAGCAGCGUAGCUGAACAUCUUACGGAUGGCCCAGGGCUCCAAAGGCUCGUUUCCUAAGUGAGAGAGAGCCUGGCUGAAGCUGUAUUACCAUUCAUUCUCCAGCCUCCGAAGUCUCAAAGCAUCACUUCCACCAUACUCUAACUGUCAAGACAAACACAAAGGCCCAGAGCCUGUUCUGCUGGGACACAGAAUCACUUGCUCCAUCUCAUACAUUGAUGAUGAUUAAUUUGUAUGUGUACCUUCCAAAAAAGAUGGUUGUGUUUGAAUGGAGGCCUUCUGGACAGGAAAAUAAUCACAUCCUUCCUGAGAUAAUGAGCACACAAUUGCCUGGAUACCUGAAGGAAUGGAGACAGCGGCAGAAAACACUGCAGAGAGGUGGAAACAUCCGUUAAUAUUUUAAAAUCCCAUUACUGCUACCAACAAUAAUAAUGGAUGCAUAGAAAUAGAUCUGGAUUAGCUGAGCUUGAAACAGUCCAUCUCACACACACACAAAAGAAUUUCAGAUACAGUGAACCCACAUGUUGAAGCUUUCUAGUAUAAUAAAAAUUUCAACUGUUCUGUUGAAUCAUCUGCCUGAUUGGAGGCUACAGAAAAGAUGUCAUCUUAGGAGUGCUUGCUCUGAGUGAGGCUCAUCUUCAAAUCUGAAUGACCACAAGGAGAUUUGAUUAUACAUGUGAACACCUCAGAAGGCACAGCCCACCCAGAAGGCAGACAGGUCAGGCUGCUUUUUCUUCAUUGCUUGGAUUCAAUCCUCCGGGCGGCUCAGGCUCAAACAUAACUUAAGCAUGAUUAAACUUUAGAAGAAGCUGCCAGGAAGACUGUGAAAUCUUCAUGCCCAAGGAUCCCUAAAAUUAGGAGCAACAACCACUUGGCUCAGACGGUUUAUGGAGGCAAAGGUUUGGAUGGGAUUAGAGAUUUCUAAAUGUGAGUUCGUGUCCUCUGCCAGACCACCUUACUUCCACCAUUCCUCAGCAAAUCAAGAAAAACAGGAGAAAAGACAUGCCUUUCCAUAAGUUAAAUCUAUUCUGUUUUAAUUCUAUAUUAUAUCUGCUGUACAACUUCUUUUGUUUGUAACACCAUAUUGUUGCUAGUAACUGGAAAUUAAUUUUCACAUGCCUCAGCUUAGAAAAAUAAAAA